CAAGAAUUUAUGAGUUUAUGGGGAAUACCUUGGCAUUUAAAAGCGAAGAAGGACGUGGUUACCUACGAAAUGUUUCGGGGAGUUGGAAACAAAUUAUGAUCCGAAGAUAUCCGAAUAAGGAAACUUGUAUAACUACUUAUUUAAUAAAUAAAUAAGUGAGAGCAAACCUAGAGAAUUGAAACAUCUAAGUAUCUAGAGGAAAAGAAAGUAAAAACGAUUUUCUUAGUAGCGGCGAGCGAAAAGGAAACAGCCUAAACAUUUCGUCUUAUUAAAAGGACAAGCGGGAUGAGUUGUGGGAUAAUUAAUUAAUUUAAAAUUACAAAUGUGGAUUUUGCACAAUUAUGUUUAUAAAAAAUUCAAGUUUAAUUAAAGGAACAUUUUGGAAUAUUUGACCCAAGAGAGUGAUAGUCUCGUACUUGAAAAUUAACUUAAACUAUUUAUAUAGAAUCCCAAGUAGCAUGGAGCACGUGAAAUUCCGUGUGAAUCUGCGAGGACCACCUCGUAAGGCUAAAUAUUCUUAAAUGACCGAUAGUGAAAUAGUACCGUGAGGGAAAGGUGAAAAGAACCCCGCUAGGGGAGUGAAAUAGAACAUGAAACCAUAUACUUACGAGCAGUAGAAGGAUGACUAUAACAUUUGCCUGCGUGCCUGUUGAAGAAUGAGCCGGCGACUUAUAAUUAGUGGCAGGUUAAAACAAAGAAUGUUGAAGCCAGAGUGAAAGCGAGCUUGAAUAGGGCGUUUGUCACUUAUUAUAGACCCGAACCCGAAUGAUCUAACCAUGGUCAGGUUGAAGCUUAGGUAAUACUAAGUGGAGGACCGAACCGACUGAUGUUGAAAAAUCAGCGGAUGAAUUGUGGUUAGGGGUGAAAUGCCAAUCGAAUUCGGAGCUAGCUGGUUCUCCCCGAAAUGCGUUUUGGCGCAGCGGUAAAUAUUUUAACUUAGGGGUAAAGCACUGUUACGCAUGCGGGCUGGUAAUACGGUACCAAAUCGUUGCAAACUAAGAAUACUAAGUAUAUAAUUUACUAGUAAGACUGUGGGGGAUAAGCUCCAUUGUCAAGAGGGAAACAGCCCAGAACACCAGUUAAGGCCCCUAAAUAAUUACUAAGUGGCAAAGGAAGUGGGAGUGCAUAGACAAUCAGGAGGUUUGCUUAGAAGCAGCAAUCCUUUAAAGAGUGCGUAAUAGCUCACUGAUCAAGUAAACCUGCGCCGAAAAUGUAAGGGACUAAGUAAUUUGCCGAAACUGUGUGAUAUAUUAUUAAAAAUCUAAUAUAUCGGUAGGGGAGCGUUCUGUUUUAGAUCGAAGUAUUAGCGUAAGCGGGUAUGGACGAGACAGAAGUGAGAAUGUCGGCUUGAGUAACGAAAAUAUGGGUGAGAAUCCUAUACCCCGAAAACCUAAGGUUUCCUCCGGAAGGCUCGUCCGCGGAGGGUUAGUCAGGACCUAAGGUGAGGCUGAAAAGCGUAAUCGAUGGCAAACUGGUUAAUAUUCCUGUACCAUUUUUUAUUGAUAUCGAGGGACGGAGAAGGCUAUGCUAGCCGGACGUUGGUUACCGGUUUAAGUAUUAAGACGUUGAACAAAAUGGAGAAAACAUUUUGAGUUAAGAUACUAGUACAAAAUAUUACGAUAUUAAAGUAGUUUAGGUCAUGCUUCCAAGAAAAGCUCGCAAUGUCAUAGAUAAAAAAUGCCUGUACCAUAACCGACACAGGUGGGUAAGUAGAGUAUACUAAGGGGCGCGAGAUAACUCUCUCUAAGGAACUCGGCAAAAUAACUCCGUAACUUCGGGAGAAGGAGUACCUUAUUAAAUAAGGUUGCAAUAACAAGAUCCAAGCAACUGUUUAUCAAAAACACAGGUCUCCGCUAAGUCGUAAGACGAUGUAUGGGGGCUGACGCCUGCCCAGUGCCAGAAGGUUAAAGAAGUUAGUUAGUCUACAGAUAAAGCUGAUAACUGAAGCCCUGGUGAACGGCGGCCGUAACAAUAACGGUCCUAAGGUAGCGAAAUUCCUUGUCGGGUAAGUUCCGACCUGCACGAAUGGUGUAACGAUCUGGACACUGUCUCAACCACGAGCUCGGUGAAAUUGUAGUAUCGGUGAAGAUGCCGAUUACCCGCAACGGGACGGAAAGACCCCGUGAACCUUUACUAUAGCUUCACAGUGAACUUUGAACCUAUUUGUGUAGGAUAGGUGGGAGGCUUUGAAGCAGCGGCGCCAGUCGUUGUGGAGCCAUCCUUGAAAUACCACCCUUAUUCUUUUCGUUGUCUAACCGCGUCCCUGGAUGGGACCGGGACCCAGCCUGGCGGGCAGUUUGACUGGGGCGGUCGCCUCCUAAAUGGUAACGGAGGCGCACAAAGGUUUCCUCUGAACGGGUAGAAAUCGUAUCUAGAGUGUAAAGGCAAAAGGGAGCUUGACUGUGAGACUCACAAGUCGAGCAGGGACGAAAGUCGGUCUUAGUGAUCUGACGGUGCUGAGUGGAAAGGCCGUCACUCAACGGAUAAAAGUUACUCUAGGGAUAACAGGCUGAUCUCCCCCAAGAGUUCACAUCGACGGGGAGGUUUGGCACCUCGAUGUCGGCUCAUCGCAUCCUGGGGCGGUAGUACGUCCCAAGGGUUGGGCUGUUCGCCCAUGAAAGCGGUACGCGAGCUGGGUUCAGAACGUCGUGAGACAGUUCGGUCCAUAUCCGGUGUAGGCGUUAGAAUAUUGAGAGGAGCCUUUUUUAGUACGAGAGGACCAAGAAGGACAUACCGCUGGUGUACCAGUUAUCAUGCCAAUGGUAAACGCUGGGUAGCUAUGUAUGGAGAGGAUAACCGCUGAAAGCAUCUAAGUGGGAAGCCCACCUCAAGAUGAGUAUUCUUAUCAUUUAUAUGAAUAAGGUCACGGUAAGACGAACCGUUUUAAUAGGCAUUAAGUAUAAAUGCAGUAAUGUAUGAGCUAAGAUGUACUAACAGACCGAGGACUUG
RNAcentral lists this ribosomal RNA (2949 nucleotides) under Striatella unipunctata. RNAcentral describes it as "Bacterial large subunit ribosomal RNA". It matches the Rfam family "Bacterial large subunit ribosomal RNA". The record is from RNAcentral. Lineage: Eukaryota; Bacillariophyta; Striatellaphyceae; Striatellales; Striatellaceae.